UCUCCGUAGGUGAACCAGCGGAGGGAUCACUACAGGCUUGCAAAAGCUCUCAAACCACUGUUUACCUACCUGAAUCUGCUUCGGCGGGCGCCCCCAGGGCGGGUCCGUAGCCGCCAGGCGCCCGCCGAAGACCCCGCAACUCUGUCUUCUUGAGAAUCUCUGAGUAUCAUAUUAAAAAAAAAAACAACUUUCAACAACGGAUCUCUUGGCUCUG
RNAcentral lists this unclassified non-coding RNA (214 nucleotides) under plant metagenome. Its description in RNAcentral is "partial contains small subunit ribosomal RNA, internal transcribed spacer 1, and 5.8S ribosomal RNA". The record is from RNAcentral.